RNAcentral lists this long non-coding RNA (1496 nucleotides) under Cyanistes caeruleus (blue tit). Its description in RNAcentral is "lncRNA (ENSCCEG00000010723.1)". The record is from RNAcentral. Lineage: Eukaryota; Metazoa; Chordata; Aves; Passeriformes; Paridae.
AUUGAAAUUUACACUUGUUUUGGUGACUUGAUACCUGCUUUCCUUUUCGUAGACUAUUACUGCUGCUUGCUCAGGUAUGGCAAGGCUCAGCAACCCUUCCUGGGAACAUAUUGUCCAGCUAAUGGAAUUUCCAGGCUCCAGAGCUCAAAUCAAGGGUGCAGGACUGCACACACCACAGCAGCAUCCCAAGUGUGUUUCCAAGUUUCCUGCUGCUUUUGCUGUUCCUGGGGUUGAUAGGAGCUUUCCAGUGACUUGAGCAAAGAAAGGCUGAAUGAGGGAUGUUUUUUGUGCCCAUUCCUUAAAGGCCCUUCCAUCCCUCUCCCUGUCUGUGUUGUCACCUUGGGGCCCAGUGAUUUGUUUCCUUGCUGGCAUUUACAGGAUUGCAGCCCUUGGACUGAACGUCCACCCCAGCUGCUGCCCUGCAACGAAUGCAAACCAGAUCUCCACACUGGAGGUUCCAGCCCUUCCUGAAACACGAGGACACGUGUUGAGAGCACAGAAAGCAGUCAGAAGUACAGCUUUUACCAACUGCUCUGCUGCUUAACAUCUCUGGCAUUCAAAACAUACAACUUCUGUGUUUGUACUACAUUUCCCUAACAGCUUACAUCGAGGCCAAACACACAGCGUUCUGCAGAGGUCUUCUAAAAUAAGCUUAUUUAAAAGAGCAAGGUCAAUGCCCAACACAUGUCAGAUUCUGUGAGCAGAAAUCAAAGAGUUCGGGGCAAAUGGGAUAUGUCAGGACUCGGUGGAUUCCCAUGCCAGGCUCUUUUACCAGGUUCACAUUGCUGCUGCCAAAACCAGUAACAAUCUCAUCAUGUGGACUUCAGCUUUGGAAAAAUGUCUUUAAAAACCCCAGUCUCUGCAUGUGGGCUACUCAUCUCAAUAAGGAAAACUAACACACAGAUAAAAGUGUUUAUCUGGGCAUGCUAUUUAUUGUCCCCGUAACUGUAUUUUUCUUUUAAUGGGACAUGUGCGGAUUCCAUGCUUCAGCCCUAGGCUCUAUUAAAAUCAAAUUAAAAGCAUUAGCAAUUUCGUUAAUUCCAUUUAUAAUAUGACCAUCAAGUCAAGAGAAGGCAGAACAUUAAAACAGAAAUACAUAUAGAUAGAUAGAUGGGAUUUAAGAAUUUUUUGAAAAAAUAUCGUUCCAUUUUGAUCUUUACCUUUUUUUUUUUUUUUAAUAUCAAAACAUGAAAAGUUUUCCUGUAUUCAGAUAAAGUAACUCUGCCUGGUCUUUUAAACCAGAUCUUGCAGAAUGAUAUUUGUGAUUUCAAUUAAAAUACGCUAUUGUCACUUUAGCCUCCCUCUUUGGUAUUUUAAAUUGAUCCUAAUCGCUUUGCCUUAAGUGAUUUGCGUCCCAUCGUGAAUCGCUGUCACUGACAGCGCCUCCCACUACUGCCCUCCCGAUAAUCGCUCCUUCCCCUUCUCCCGGCUCUCCCCCGACCCCGGCUCUGCUCCGGGCUGCGAACUCUUCUCCCUUUCCCAUCUGGAGCUUGGGG